UUAAUUUUUUGUCUGAUUUCUUAACACUUCAGCUUGUGCUGUAUAAAAAUGACUUUUUCUCAUAAUAAUAAGUCAUAAUCAUUUGUCUUCUCAUAGCUAAUAAUUCAUAUUACUUUCUUUUUAUGUUAUAGGAUAAGAGAAACAACCCCUUCAUGUAUUUUAGUUUAGUUUAGUUUUUUUUCUUUUCCUACCUGGUUCAGUAUAUUUAUCUCUUCAACUCUCUACAAGUUCACUACUAAAGGGGGUUCUUCAGGGGAGUGGGGCAGCCCAGAGUUUCAACAAACACUAACAUAGUCAUAUAAAAAAAUAGAGAGAGCAAUUUUGUAGAAUAGCAGCCCAGAGUUUCAGUAAACACUAACUAGUCAUAUAGGAAAAAAAUAUGAAGAUCAGAGUAACACAGACAUAUAAUUGAUGCUUAAUAAUGUUCUUGGAUGAAUUGCUAAUAUAUUUCUCCAUGUAACCAGUGUAGACCUUCUAGAAGAGGGGUAAUCAACCAAAUGCAGUCUCCACCUGCUUUUGUAAUUGAAGUUUUAUGAGAGUACAGUCACACUUUUUUACUUACAUACUGUCUACUUUCAUGCUAGAGUAGCAGAGUUGAGUCACUGUGACAGAGACUGUAUAUCUUACAAACCUAAAAUGUUUACUCUCUGGCCUCUGACAGAUAAAGAAAGCUUCCUCAUGACUGGUCUAGAAGUAUGUUUUCUUCAACAUUGCUGGAUAAACUCUGAAAAGGGCUUAAUCAUUAAUUGCCAUUUAUCUAGAAUUUUUUUAAAGUAUUAUACCAUUACUUUUGGUCUAUCAAGUUACCACAAAGAUUAUUAUAUUAUAGCCAUAUUUGGUUGCAGGCUUGAGGAUAGGGCUCUGGUUACCCUAAUAGGAGUUGGCUGUUUUCUGAAUUGUGUCAACACCACAUUUACAAGUCAUCAUUUUUUUUUUUUUCAUAUCUUAGGAACAUCAGUAGAAACUGGGAUGGAAAAGUCCCAUUAUAACUGGCUAAAUGAGAAUCAUCUAACUGAAUGUCAAAUUAGAGGAGUAAAAUAUUUUUUUCUUGAGAUUUGUAAAACAGGUUAUAUGGAAGUAGAAGGCAUGAAAAUAUUUUCCUCAUUUCUAUUCUGUAAGCAACCCAGUACUAAAAUUUUGGUCCCGAGGUUUACACAGCACUGGGCCUUUGUUCAGUCAAGUUUUAAGUAGAGUAAAUUGAGCACUAUCCAUUUUCUACUCACAGCUACUAGAGAUUAUUCUAAUUUCUUGUGUGGUUAAUAACACAUUAUUUUACCCAGACGAUGUCUUCAAAAAUAUGCACUGGAUCAAUGUCCUAGUAAAUAGAACCUGGCUUUUUAAAAGCUUUACAGGAUUUAUUUCAUAUUAAAGGCAUUGGGCCUCUGCAAGUAUAGAUAGAGUACAAUUAUAUCAAUGCUCAGAAGAGAGAGAGGUUGUAUCCAGCUGGGGUUGGUAAAAAAAAAUUUGUCCAAUGAAGUAAGGAAAGUAUAGAAGGUAAAGUGAUGUCAUUAACAGAGACAGGCACACAUAAUAUGAUUUAAAGGAACAAGGCAAUUGCAGCCUGGCUGAAGCAGUUUGCUUAUGCAGGGUAGAGUGAUUACACACAAAAGUGAGCAGGUAGGUUAGGUAUAUAGCUUUAGAAUUUAAACAUCUUAGAUAACUUACCAUAUUACUAAGAAAGCACAAGAAGUUUAAGCAGAGGAAUAAAAAGGAAAAGACACCAGGUAUGGAAAAGCUGAGUUAGGAGACCCUGUGAGUUAUGCCUUCUAAAGAGGACCAGCAGACAGUGACAGGAAAGAAUGAUACAAGGGAUACAAGGAGCCUUGAGACAUACAUUGACUAGGUCACAGGGAAGAAAGUGAAGCAAAACUAUCAUGGGCUUCAUACCUCAGAACAUAUGUUCUUGUCAUUAACAGAAAAUAGGAAAUUACGAACAUGAUGGAGGAAAUAGGAUUAACUCAUUUUUUCUAACAGAGGAGGUCAUGAGCUCAAGAGAGAGGUCAGGGCUGCGAGGUAGAUUUGGGAGUCCCCAUUAUAAAGGAAGAGAUAGUCAAGUAUCUUAUUACAGCGAGAUUAAGGAGAUGCAGUCCAGUAAAAGACCUUAGGAUUUAGCAAUCAGGAGAUCAUUUACUACCUUUGAAAAUGAAAACCAGGUUGCCACAGCUUAAAGUUGAGUCACCCAGUCUUGGGGCUCAGAUGUACAAUUGGUCACAAAGGUAGUAUUGGAGAGAUUUCAAAAAGCCUAACAGAAGUCUUACAUAGAGCUAAACAAACAAAAGUGUGUGUUUCUUUUUUCCUCAAGUCAUACCACUCCAUUGUUGGUUUUUUUGCAGACUAGAAGUUCUGGUGUGCAUUAAAGAUGGAUUUGAUUAAUUUAAAAUGGGAAAGUACAUUAUUCCUUAUUUUUAACCUCUUCAACCUUAUGAAAGCAUUCAUUUCAGUGUUCCUGGGAACACACUUUGACAAAUGUGUGAGAUAAUGUUGUGAGGUUGCCUAGUAGCAGGCUCUGUGAUAGGCAAAAUCAGGCUUUUAGUUGCGAGACGUCCAAAUAAGUGGAACACUAAUAGGCUACAGAGUGUUUCCAUGUACAUUGCCUUGGCUAGUCUUCUCACCACUCAUUAUAACAUCUCCCAACUACCUCUAAUUCAGAAAAUAAUUAGGCAGUCUCCUUUUAAAUUUGCAUAGUGCUAGCCAUUAAGAGUUACUUUAGGAUUGAUUUGGAAGAAUUUGGCACUUUCUUUUCUUCAGCUUCUAUUAAGAAAAUGUAAAUCUUGCUUUAAAAAAAAAAUCCAUUAAUAAAAUCACCUUAGAAAGUGUUUGUGCCAUGUCUAUGGGUUUUUUUUUUUUUUUUUUUUAAUGUGAUUGUGUCACAUCUGUGACAGUUUAAUUCAGUUACCCAAAGAGUAAUGAUGCAAACAUGCAUAAUAAAUAUUUGAGGCUUGAAGUGGAUUUUGACACAGAAUAUUUCUGACUCUUAUAUUUCAUUAUGUACAUUUCAAUGAAUUGAUUAUUGUAAUCUGAGUAUCAUUAACUAAAAUAUGAAAAGCUCAUUGCUAAAAACACCUGGAGUAUUUGUCAGUGUGUCAGUGUCCUGUGCCGCUUGAGAGCUUAGAACCUAGACUCCUAUCUGUGAAUUGUGCAUGUAGUUCAUGUUUUUUAAGGGUAUUGAUGUGUGUUUAGAAAAUUCUCUUGAAGUAAACAAAAAUCAUCAGCAACAUUAACCUGCAAGGUUAAUUGAACACUUAUUUAAGGGAGCCAUUCUCUUUGCACUCUGUACUAGAAAGUAGCUAGAAAUUUAAAAAACAUUUUAAAAGAUAAGAGACAGAAAAACAGACACCAACAGAGAAGUAGGGAGGAAGAGUUUCACACACACACAC
Long non-coding RNA from Sapajus apella (tufted capuchin), 3377 nucleotides. RefSeq lists it as uncharacterized. The transcript has 2 exons. The record is from RefSeq and is a predicted model, not a curated record. Lineage: Eukaryota; Metazoa; Chordata; Mammalia; Primates; Cebidae.